CCUCAGCUCUUCCAGAAGAAAGACCACGGGAGACACAAGAUUAAGGUUCUCUUUCUGGCUCUUCUCCUUGGUCUGGUUUGUGCCGCCCAAGAAGAGGAAGCUGAGCAAAGUCUCUCAGAGAAAGAGUCACUGAGACCAGACACGUCAUCUUCUGCGCGGAAUCAAGAUCAACAACAUGAAGACGACUUUCCUGGUUCCUGAUGAAUGUGAUCCUUCUCUCUUCACACUCAUACUUCCUCUCC
This 242-nucleotide long non-coding RNA is filed under the name Bos indicus x Bos taurus (hybrid cattle). RNAcentral describes it as "lncRNA (ENSBIXG00000029617.1)". The record is from RNAcentral. Lineage: Eukaryota; Metazoa; Chordata; Mammalia; Artiodactyla; Bovidae.